RNAcentral lists this ribosomal RNA (291 nucleotides) under uncultured Pseudomonas sp. RNAcentral's name for it is "partial 16S ribosomal RNA". It matches the Rfam family "Bacterial small subunit ribosomal RNA", at positions 1093 to 1382 of the family's 1533-position model. Lineage: Bacteria; Pseudomonadati; Pseudomonadota; Gammaproteobacteria; Pseudomonadales; Pseudomonadaceae. The record is from RNAcentral.
CGAGCGCAACCCUUGUCCUUAGUUACCAGCACGUUAUGGUGGGCACUCUAAGGAGACUGCCGGUGACAAACCGGAGGAAAGGUGGGGAUGACGUCAAGUCAUCAUGGCCCUUACGGCCUGGGCUACACACGUGCUACAAUGGUCGGUACAAAGGGUUGCCAAGCCGCGAGGUGGAGCUAAUCCCAUAAAACCGAUCGUAGUCCGGAUCGCAGUCUGCAACUCGACUGCGUGAAGUCGGAAUCGCUAGUAAUCGUGAAUCAGAAUGUCACGGUGAAUACGUUCCCGGGCCUU